This 2037-nucleotide ribosomal RNA is filed under the name Streptococcus dysgalactiae subsp. equisimilis. RNAcentral describes it as "bacterial LSU rRNA". It matches the Rfam family "Bacterial large subunit ribosomal RNA", at positions 878 to 2925 of the family's 2925-position model. Lineage: Bacteria; Bacillati; Bacillota; Bacilli; Lactobacillales; Streptococcaceae. The record is from RNAcentral.
AGCGUCGAUGUUAAGUCUCUUGGAGGUAGAGCACUGUUUGGGUGAGGGGUCCAUCUCGGAUUACCAAUCUCAGAUAAACUCCGAAUGCCAACGAGAUAUAAUCGGCAGUCAGACUGCGAGUGCUAAGAUCCGUAGUCGAAAGGGAAACAGCCCAGACCACCAGCUAAGGUCCCAAAAUAUAUGUUAAGUGGAAAAGGAUGUGGGGUUGCACAGACAACUAGGAUGUUAGCUUAGAAGCAGCUAUUCAUUCAAAGAGUGCGUAAUAGCUCACUAGUCGAGUGACCCUGCGCCGAAAAUGUACCGGGGCUAAAACAUAUUACCGAAGCUGUGGAUGACACGUUAGUGUCAUGGUAGGAGAGCGUUCUAUGUGUGAAGAAGGUGUACCGUGAGGAGCGCUGGAACGCAUAGAAGUGAGAAUGCCGGUAUGAGUAGCGAAAGACAGGUGAGAAUCCUGUCCACCGUAAGACUAAGGUUUCCAGGGGAAGGCUCGUCCGCCCUGGGUUAGUCGGGACCUAAGGAGAGACCGAAAGGUGUAUCCGAUGGCCAACAGGUUGAUAUUCCUGUACUAGAGUAUAAAGUGAUGGAGGGACGCAGUAGGCUAACUAAAGCAGGCGAUUGGAAGAGCCUGUCUAAUCAGUGAGGUGUAAGAUGAGUCAAAUGCUUAUCUUUAUAACAUUGAGCUGUGAUGGGGAGCGAAGUUAAGUAGCGAAGUUAGUGAUGUCACACUGCCAAGAAAAGCUUCUAGCGUUUAAUUAUACUCUACCCGUACCGCAAACCGACACAGGUAGUCGAGGCGAGUAGCCUCAGGUGAUCGAGAGAACUCUCGUUAAGGAACUCGGCAAAAUGACCCCGUAACUUCGGGAGAAGGGGUGCUGACUUACGUCAGCCGCAGUGAAUAGGCCCAAGCAACUGUUUAUCAAAAACACAGCUCUCUGCUAAAUCGUAAGAUGAUGUAUAGGGGGUGACGCCUGCCCGGUGCUGGAAGGUUAAGAGGAGGGUUUAGCGUAAGCGAAGAUCUGAAUUGAAGCCCCAGUAAACGGCGGCCGUAACUAUAACGGUCCUAAGGUAGCGAAAUUCCUUGUCGGGUAAGUUCCGACCCGCACGAAAGGCGUAAUGAUUUGGGCACUGUCUCAACGAGAGACUCGGUGAAAUUUUAGUACCUGUGAAGAUGCAGGUUACCCGCGACAGGACGGAAAGACCCCAUGGAGCUUUACUGCAGUUUGAUAUUGAGUAUCUGUACCACAUGUACAGGAUAGGUAGGAGCCAUUGAAGUCGGGACGCCAGUUUCGACGGAGGCGUUGUUGGGAUACUACCCUUGUGUUAUGGCUACUCUAACCCGGAUAGGUUAUCCCUAUCGGAGACAGUGUCUGACGGGCAGUUUGACUGGGGCGGUCGCCUCCUAAAAGGUAACGGAGGCGCCCAAAGGUUCCCUCAGAUUGGUUGGAAAUCAAUCGCAGAGUGUAAAGGUAUAAGGGAGCUUGACUGCGAGAGCUACAACUCGAGCAGGGACGAAAGUCGGGCUUAGUGAUCCGGUGGUUCCGUAUGGAAGGGCCAUCGCUCAACGGAUAAAAGCUACCCUGGGGAUAACAGGCUUAUCUCCCCCAAGAGUUCACAUCGACGGGGAGGUUUGGCACCUCGAUGUCGGCUCGUCGCAUCCUGGGGCUGUAGUCGGUCCCAAGGGUUGGGCUGUUCGCCCAUUAAAGCGGCACGCGAGCUGGGUUCAGAACGUCGUGAGACAGUUCGGUCCCUAUCCGUCGCGGGCGUAGGAAAUUUGAGAGGAUCUGCUCCUAGUACGAGAGGACCAGAGUGGACUUACCGCUGGUGUACCAGUUGUCUUGCCAAAGGCAUCGCUGGGUAGCUAUGUAGGGAAGGGAUAAGCGCUGAAAGCAUCUAAGUGCGAAGCCCCCCUCAAGAUGAGAUUUCCCAUGAUUUUAUAUCAGUAAGAGCCCUGAGAGAUGAUCAGGUAGAUAGGUUAGAAGUGGAAGUGUAGUGAUACAUGAAGCGGACUAAUACUAAUAGCUCGAGGACUUAUCCGAA